RNAcentral lists this ribosomal RNA (420 nucleotides) under uncultured bacterium. Its description in RNAcentral is "bacterial SSU rRNA". It matches the Rfam family "Bacterial small subunit ribosomal RNA", at positions 356 to 773 of the family's 1533-position model. The record is from RNAcentral.
GAGGAGUAUUGGUCAAUGGACGCAAGUCUGAACCAGCCAUGUCGCGUGCAGGGUGACGGCCCUAUGGGUUGUAAACUGCUUUUGUACGGGAAGAAAAUAGGGUAUGUAUACCCUUUUGCCGGUACUGUACGAAUAAGCAUCGGCUAACUCCGUGCCAGCAGCCGCGGUAAUACGGAGGAUGCGAGCGUUAUCCGGAUUCAUUGGGUUUAAAGGGUGCGCAGGCGGAUUAUUAAGUCAGGGGUGAAAUCCCACGGCUCAACCGUGGAACUGCCUUUGAUACUGAUAGUCUAGAGUAUAGUUGAAGUUGGCGGAAUGUGUCAUGUAGCGGUGAAAUGCUUAGAUAUGACACAGAACACCGAUCGCGAAGGCAGCUAGCUAAGCUAUAACUGACGCUCAUGCACGAAAGCGUGGGGAUCAAAC